GACAGAGGUCACAAGCGUUAUCCGGAAUCACUGGGCGUAAAGCGUGUGUAGGCGGAACGGUAAGUCGGAGGUUAAAUCCCCGAGCUCAACUCGGGACCUGCUUCCGAAACUCCCGUUCUUUGAAGCGCGCAAAGGCAAGUGGAAUUCUGUGUGUAGGGGUAAAAUCCGUAGAUACACGGAGGAACGCCAAAAGGGAAACCAGCUUGCUGGGCGCGUCUUGACGCUGAGACACGAAAGCGUGGGGAUCAAACAGG
Molecule: ribosomal RNA, 254 nt
Filed under: uncultured bacterium
Lineage: Bacteria
Description: partial 16S ribosomal RNA
Rfam family: Bacterial small subunit ribosomal RNA
Source: RNAcentral